GCGAGUUAACAAAUUUUUAUUUGUAGCGUACGGGUGAGUAAAUAACAGAAUUUUACUUUUUUAGGUUUGAUAUAAAAUAUACUCAUAAAAUUUAUAAUUAUGAAUAAAAAACUUUGUUUUGUAUUAAUAUUAAAUAAAUGUAUAAAUCAUAAGAUAAAAACUAUUAGAUUUAUCUAUUAAAAAAUUUUUUGCUAAAAAAUAAAUCUGUAUAAGAUUAGGUAGUUGGUAAGGAGACAGCUUACCAAGCCAAUAAUCUUUAGUUGAUCUGAGAGGAUGAUCAACCACACUGGAACUGAAACAAGGUCCAGGCCUUUUGGCCAGCAGUGAGGAAUAUUGGACAAUGAACGAAAGUUUGAUCCAGCAAUAUUACAUGAAUGAUGACAGCUAAUUUGGUUGUAAAUUUCUUUCGUCAAAAAUGAUAAUGACAUUAUUUGAAAAAGAAGUCCCGGCUAAUCUCGUGCCAGCAGCCGCGGUAAUACGGGAGGGGCAAGCGUUAUUCAAAAUAACUGGGCGUAAAGGGUUCGUAGACGGUAUUGUAAGUUAAUUGUUAAAUACUAAAGCUUAACUUUAGAAAAAAGCAUUUAAAACUAUUAUACUAGAGUUUUAAACAGAAGAGUAGAAUUUUAUGAGUAAGGAUAAAAUCUGAAAAUACAUAAAGGAAUAUCAGUAGUGAAAGCGACUCUUUAGUAAAAACUGACGUUGAGGGACGAAAGUGUAGGGAGCAAACAGGAUUAGAUACCCUGGUAGUCUACACUGUAAACACUGAGUGUUAAAAU
Molecule: ribosomal RNA, 776 nt
Filed under: uncultured bacterium
Lineage: Bacteria
Description: partial 16S ribosomal RNA
Rfam family: Bacterial small subunit ribosomal RNA
Source: RNAcentral